This is a long non-coding RNA of Neocloeon triangulifer, 494 nucleotides long. RefSeq lists it as uncharacterized. The transcript is spliced from 3 exons. NCBI's taxonomy places the organism in Eukaryota, Metazoa, Arthropoda, Insecta, Ephemeroptera, Baetidae. The record is from RefSeq and is a predicted model, not a curated record.
UCGAAGCGCGUCUCUCUUUUGAGCGCCCAUGUUAGUUUGCGUCUCUUCUUGUUGUGAUCACAUCGGUCUUGGAAAAAUUUUAAGAUUUUGAAGAAAAUGGCAGAUAUUCUUGAAGAAUCAGAGUGAUUUGCCCUCAAAAAGAUGCAGUAAGUAUUUUUCGCAUAUAAAUAUGCAACUUUGGUCCUGGGUGAGGACUAGUUUCUCAUCCCAAGCAAACAACGCAAAUACAGCUUGAUAGCUAAUUAUAGAAAAUUAUUCUUUUAUUCCAGGCUAAUGUGAGCUAUACAAAAUUUCAUACCUCGAUUGUCGCAUUGGAACUGUGGAUUGAUAAUUAUAUGGCAGCUUAAACUGCGCGUGGAAAAAUGGAGUACAGGAAAAUUAAAGAUAUUUGCAUGCGGACCAAAACGUUCACUUCUAUAUAUCAAAGAUCCUGGGUAGUUUGCGGACGACGCUAAUUUUCCAAUGAAAGGCAAUAAAUUUGUUUGAAAACUCCG